UCCCAGGUGGAUCAGAUGGUAAAGAAUCUGCCUGCAAUGUAGGAGACCCAGGUUUGAUCCCUGGUUUAGGAA
Ovis aries (sheep) is the source of this 72-nucleotide transfer RNA. It matches the Rfam family "tRNA". Rfam says of the family: Transfer RNA (tRNA) molecules are approximately 80 nucleotides in length. NCBI's taxonomy places the organism in Eukaryota, Metazoa, Chordata, Mammalia, Artiodactyla, Bovidae. The record is from Rfam.